Molecule: ribosomal RNA, 321 nt
Filed under: uncultured Chloroflexota bacterium
Lineage: Bacteria; Bacillati; Chloroflexota
Description: bacterial SSU rRNA
Rfam family: Bacterial small subunit ribosomal RNA
Source: RNAcentral
GAUGAACGCUGGCGGCGUGCUUAAUACAUGCAAGUCGAACGAAGUCAGUAGCAAUAUUGGCUGAGUGGCGAACGGGUGAGUAACGCGUUGGUGACCUGCCCCAAAGUGUGGGAUAACAGUCCGAAAGGAUUGCUAAUACCGCAUGUGGUCCUCGGAUUUAGAAACCGAUGACUAAAGCCGCAAGGCGCUUUGGGAGGGACCUGCGUCCCAUCAGCUAGUUGGUGAGGUAACGGCCCACCAAGGCUACGACGGGUAGGGGACCUGAGAGGGUGGCCCCCCACAAUGGAACUGAAACACGGUCCAUACACCUACGGGAGGCAG